UACGUAGGGCGCAAGCGUUGUCCGGAAUUAUUGGGCGUAAAGAGCUCGUAGGCGGUUUGUUACGUCCGCUGUGAAAACCCAGGGCUUAACCCUGGGCUUGCAGUGGAUACGGGCAGACUAGAGGUAGGUAGGGGAGAAUGGAAUUCCCGGUGUAGCGGUGAAAUGCGCAGAUAUCGGGAGGAACACCGGUGGCGAAGGCGGUUCUCUGGGCCGUAACUGACGCUGAGGAGCGAAAGCGUGGGGAGCGAACAGG
This 253-nucleotide ribosomal RNA is filed under the name uncultured bacterium. RNAcentral describes it as "partial 16S ribosomal RNA". It matches the Rfam family "Bacterial small subunit ribosomal RNA", at positions 524 to 776 of the family's 1533-position model. The record is from RNAcentral.